CCUACGGGUGGCAGCAGUCGAGAAUCAUUCACAAUGGGGGAAACCCUGAUGGUGCGACGCCGCGUGGGGGAAUGAAGGUCUUCGGAUUGUAAACCCCUGUUAUGUGGGAGCAAAUUAAAAAGAUAGUACCACAAGAGGAAGAGACGGCUAACUCUGUGCCAGCAGCCGCGGUAAUACAGAGGUCUCAAGCGUUGUUCGGAAUCACUGGGCGUAAAGCGUGCGUAGGCUGUUUCGUAAGUCGUGUGUGAAAGGCGCGGGCUCAACCCGCGGACGGCACAUGAUACUGCGAGACUAGAGUAAGGGAGGGGGAACCGGAAUUCUCGGUGUAGCAGUGAAAUGCGUAGAUAUCGAGAGGAACACUCGUGGCGAAGGCGGGUUCCUGGACAUUAACUGACGCUGAGGCACGAAGGCCAGGGGAGCGAAAGGGAUUAGAUACCCUUGUAGUC
Molecule: ribosomal RNA, 446 nt
Filed under: uncultured bacterium
Lineage: Bacteria
Description: partial 16S ribosomal RNA
Rfam family: Bacterial small subunit ribosomal RNA
Source: RNAcentral